This 439-nucleotide ribosomal RNA is filed under the name uncultured bacterium. RNAcentral describes it as "bacterial SSU rRNA". It matches the Rfam family "Bacterial small subunit ribosomal RNA", at positions 41 to 524 of the family's 1533-position model. The record is from RNAcentral.
AACAGGCCUAACACAUGCAAGUCGAGCGGGCAUAGCAAUAUGUCAGCGGCAGACGGGUGAGUAACGCGUGGGAACGUACCUUUUGGUUCGGAACAACUGAGGGAAACUUCAGCUAAUACCGGAUAAGCCCUUACGGGGAAAGAUUUAUCGCCGAAAGAUCGGCCCGCGUCUGAUUAGCUAGUUGGUGAGGUAAUGGCUCACCAAGGCGACGAUCAGUAGCUGGUCUGAGAGGAUGAUCAGCCACAUUGGGACUGAGACACGGCCCAAACUCCUACGGGAGGCAGCAGUGGGGAAUAUUGGACAAUGGGCGCAAGCCUGAUCCAGCCAUGCCGCGUGAGUGAUGAAGGCCCUAGGGUUGUAAAGCUCUUUUGUGCGGGAAGAUAAUGACGGUACCGCAAGAAUAAGCCCCGGCUAACUUCGUGCCAGCAGCCGCGGUAAU